This 492-nucleotide ribosomal RNA is filed under the name uncultured bacterium. RNAcentral describes it as "partial 16S ribosomal RNA". It matches the Rfam family "Bacterial small subunit ribosomal RNA", at positions 29 to 507 of the family's 1533-position model. The record is from RNAcentral.
AGUGAACGCUGGCGGUAGGCCUAACACAUGCAAGUCGAACGGCAGCACAGUAAGAGCUUGCUCUUACGGGUGGCGAGUGGCGGACGGGUGAGGAAUACAUCGGAAUCUACUUUUUCGUGGGGGAUAACGUAGGGAAACUUACGCUAAUACCGCAUACGACCUACGGGUGAAAGCACGGUAUCUUCGGACCUUGCGCGAUUGAAUGAGCCGAUGUCGGAUUAGCUAGUUGGCGGGGUAAAGGCCCACCAAGGCGACGAUCCGUAGCUGGUCUGAGAGGAUGAUCAGCCACACUGGAACUGAGAAACGGUCCAGACUCCUACGGGAGGCAGCAGUGGGGAAUAUUGGACAAUGGGCGCAAGCCUGAUCCAGCCAUACCGCGUGGGUGAAGAAGGCCUUCGGGUUGUAAAGCCCUUUUGUUGGGAAAGAAAAGCAGCAGGUUAAUACCCCGCUGUUCUGACGGUACCCAAAGAAUAAGCACCGGCUAACUUCGUG